Xiphophorus hellerii (green swordtail) is the source of this 200-nucleotide long non-coding RNA. RefSeq lists it as uncharacterized. NCBI's taxonomy places the organism in Eukaryota, Metazoa, Chordata, Actinopteri, Cyprinodontiformes, Poeciliidae. The transcript is spliced from 4 exons. The record is from RefSeq and is a predicted model, not a curated record.
GCCUCCUGCUGUUUGAGACUCACUCAGUUCCGGAUGAACCCAGACUGCCCCCUGCUGAUGAGAACACAAGAAAUCACUUUGCUGCUGUCGCCUCCCUGAUCCUCUUCCUCAUCCUCAUCCUCAUCCUCACCGCGGUGGCUCAGUGUGGAGCUCAUGGGUCGCAGCAGAACCGAAACCCGGAGCAGCAGAUCUGAAGACUC